RNAcentral lists this ribosomal RNA (2900 nucleotides) under Klebsiella pneumoniae. RNAcentral's name for it is "bacterial LSU rRNA". It matches the Rfam family "Bacterial large subunit ribosomal RNA". The record is from RNAcentral. RNAcentral also lists the same sequence under 1 other name. Lineage: Bacteria; Pseudomonadati; Pseudomonadota; Gammaproteobacteria; Enterobacterales; Enterobacteriaceae.
UUAAGCGACUAAGCGUACACGGUGGAUGCCCUGGCAGUCAGAGGCGAUGAAGGACGUGCUAAUCUGCGAAAAGCGUCGGUAAGGUGAUAUGAACCGUUAUAACCGGCGAUGUCCGAAUGGGGAAACCCAGUGCAAUUCGUUGCACUAUCGUUAACUGAAUACAUAGGUUAACGAGGCGAACCGGGGGAACUGAAACAUCUAAGUACCCCGAGGAAAAGAAAUCAACCGAGAUUCCCCCAGUAGCGGCGAGCGAACGGGGAGCAGCCCAGAGUCUGAAUCAGCUUGUGUGUUAGUGGAACGGUCUGGAAAGUCCGACGGUACAGGGUGAUAGUCCCGUACACCAAAAUGCACAGGUUGUGAACUCGAAGAGUAGGGCGGGACACGUGGUAUCCUGUCUGAAUAUGGGGGGACCAUCCUCCAAGGCUAAAUACUCCUGACUGACCGAUAGUGAACCAGUACCGUGAGGGAAAGGCGAAAAGAACCCCGGCGAGGGGAGUGAAAAAGAACCUGAAACCGUGUACGUACAAGCAGUGGGAGCACCUUCGGGUGUGACUGCGUACCUUUUGUAUAAUGGGUCAGCGACUUAUAUUCUGUAGCAAGGUUAACCGUAUAGGGGAGCCGCAGGGAAACCGAGUCUUAACUGGGCGUUAAGUUGCAGGGUAUAGACCCGAAACCCGGUGAUCUAGCCAUGGGCAGGUUGAAGGUUGGGUAACACUAACUGGAGGACCGAACCGACUAAUGUUGAAAAAUUAGCGGAUGACUUGUGGCUGGGGGUGAAAGGCCAAUCAAACCGGGAGAUAGCUGGUUCUCCCCGAAAGCUAUUUAGGUAGCGCCUCGUGAACUCAUCUUCGGGGGUAGAGCACUGUUUCGGCUAGGGGGUCAUCCCGACUUACCAACCCGAUGCAAACUACGAAUACCGAAGAAUGUUAUCACGGGAGACACACGGCGGGUGCUAACGUCCGUCGUGAAGAGGGAAACAACCCAGACCGCCAGCUAAGGUCCCAAAGUCAUGGUUAAGUGGGAAACGAUGUGGGAAGGCACAGACAGCCAGGAUGUUGGCUUAGAAGCAGCCAUCAUUUAAAGAAAGCGUAAUAGCUCACUGGUCGAGUCGGCCUGCGCGGAAGAUGUAACGGGGCUAAACCAUGCACCGAAGCUGCGGCAGCGACACUAUGUGUUGUUGGGUAGGGGAGCGUUCUGUAAGCCUGCGAAGGUGUGCUGUGAGGCAUGCUGGAGGUAUCAGAAGUGCGAAUGCUGACAUAAGUAACGAUAAAGCGGGUGAAAAGCCCGCUCGCCGGAAGACCAAGGGUUCCUGUCCAACGUUAAUCGGGGCAGGGUGAGUCGACCCCUAAGGCGAGGCCGAAAGGCGUAGUCGAUGGGAAACAGGUUAAUAUUCCUGUACUUGGUGUUACUGCGAAGGGGGGACGGAGAAGGCUAUGUUAGCCGGGCGACGGUUGUCCCGGUUUAAGCAUGUAGGCUGAUUGUCCAGGCAAAUCCGGAUAAUCAAGGCUGAGGUGUGAUGACGAGGCACUACGGUGCUGAAGUAACAAAUGCCCUGCUUCCAGGAAAAGCCUCUAAGCAUCAGGUAACAUCAAAUCGUACCCCAAACCGACACAGGUGGUCAGGUAGAGAAUACCAAGGCGCUUGAGAGAACUCGGGUGAAGGAACUAGGCAAAAUGGUGCCGUAACUUCGGGAGAAGGCACGCUGGUGUGUAGGUGAAGCCCCUGCGGGUGGAGCUGAGACCAGUCGAAGAUACCAGCUGGCUGCAACUGUUUAUUAAAAACACAGCACUGUGCAAACACGAAAGUGGACGUAUACGGUGUGACGCCUGCCCGGUGCCGGAAGGUUAAUUGAUGGGGUUAUCCGUAAGGAGAAGCUCUUGAUCGAAGCCCCGGUAAACGGCGGCCGUAACUAUAACGGUCCUAAGGUAGCGAAAUUCCUUGUCGGGUAAGUUCCGACCUGCACGAAUGGCGUAAUGAUGGCCAGGCUGUCUCCACCCGAGACUCAGUGAAAUUGAACUCGCUGUGAAGAUGCAGUGUACCCGCGGCAAGACGGAAAGACCCCGUGAACCUUUACUAUAGCUUGACACUGAACAUUGAGCCUUGAUGUGUAGGAUAGGUGGGAGGCUUUGAAGCGUGGACGCCAGUCUGCGUGGAGCCAACCUUGAAAUACCACCCUUUAAUGUUUGAUGUUCUAACGUUGGCCCCUUACCGGGGUUGCGGACAGUGUCUGGUGGGUAGUUUGACUGGGGCGGUCUCCUCCCAAAGCGUAACGGAGGAGCACGAAGGUUAGCUAAUCCUGGUCGGACAUCAGGAGGUUAGUGCAAUGGCAUAAGCUAGCUUGACUGCGAGCGUGACGGCGCGAGCAGGUGCGAAAGCAGGUCAUAGUGAUCCGGUGGUUCUGAAUGGAAGGGCCAUCGCUCAACGGAUAAAAGGUACUCCGGGGAUAACAGGCUGAUACCGCCCAAGAGUUCAUAUCGACGGCGGUGUUUGGCACCUCGAUGUCGGCUCAUCACAUCCUGGGGCUGAAGUAGGUCCCAAGGGUAUGGCUGUUCGCCAUUUAAAGUGGUACGCGAGCUGGGUUUAGAACGUCGUGAGACAGUUCGGUCCCUAUCUGCCGUGGGCGCUGGAGAAUUGAGGGGGGCUGCUCCUAGUACGAGAGGACCGGAGUGGACGCAUCACUGGUGUUCGGGUUGUCAUGCCAAUGGCACUGCCCGGUAGCUAAAUGCGGAAGAGAUAAGUGCUGAAAGCAUCUAAGCACGAAACUUGCCCCGAGAUGAGUUCUCCCUGAGACUUUAAGUCUCCUGAAGGAACGUUGAAGACGACGACGUUGAUAGGCCGGGUGUGUAAGCGCAGCGAUGCGUUGAGCUAACCGGUACUAAUGAACCGUGAGGCUUAACCUU